CCCUUAGAUGUUCUGGGCCGCACGCGCGCUACACUGACGAAGUCAGCGAGCAUGUCCUACGCCGACAGGUGCGGGGAAUCUUGUCAAACUUCGUCGUGAUGGGGAUUGAUUAUUGAAAUUCUUGAUCAUCAACGAGGAAUUCCUAGUAAGCGCAAGUCAGCAGCUUGCGUUGAUUACGUCCCUGCCCUUUGUACACACCGCCCGUCGCUACUACCGAUUGAAUGGUUUAGUGAGAUCUUCGGAUUGGCGCCACUGCGGCUCAUCAAUGGGCUCGGUGGAUGCCGAAAAGUUGAUCAAACUUGAUCAUUUAGAGGAAGUAAAAGUCGUAACA
RNAcentral lists this ribosomal RNA (331 nucleotides) under uncultured eukaryote. RNAcentral describes it as "partial 18S ribosomal RNA". It matches the Rfam family "Eukaryotic small subunit ribosomal RNA", at positions 1470 to 1796 of the family's 1831-position model. The record is from RNAcentral.